Molecule: ribosomal RNA, 207 nt
Filed under: uncultured bacterium
Lineage: Bacteria
Description: partial 16S ribosomal RNA
Rfam family: Bacterial small subunit ribosomal RNA
Source: RNAcentral
CGCGCAGGUGGUUUCUUAAGUCUGAUGUGAAAGCCCACGGCUCAACCGUGGAGGGUCAUUGGAAACUGGGAGACUUGAGUGCAGAAGAGGAUAGCGGAAUUCCAAGUGUAGCGGUGAAAUGCGUAGAGAUUUGGAGGAACACCAGUGGCGAAGGCGACUGUCUGGUCUGUAACUGACACUGAGGCGCGAAAGCGUGGGGAGCAAACA